CCCUGCCCUUUGUACACACCGCCCGUCGCUCCUACCGAUUGGGUGUGCUGGUGAAGUGUUUGGACUGGUGUCAGUGGGGGGCAACCUCUGUUGGUGUUGAGAAGAACAUUAAACCCUCCCACCGAGAG
RNAcentral lists this ribosomal RNA (128 nucleotides) under uncultured eukaryote. RNAcentral's name for it is "partial small subunit ribosomal RNA". It matches the Rfam family "Eukaryotic small subunit ribosomal RNA", at positions 1651 to 1778 of the family's 1831-position model. The record is from RNAcentral.